UACGGGGGGGCAAGCGUUGUUCGGAAUUACUGGGCGUAAAGGGCGCGUAGGCGGCCUUCUAAGUCGGACGUGAAAUCCCACGGCUCAACCGUGGAACUGCGUCUGAUACUGGAGGGCUUGAAUCCGGGAGAGGGAUGUGGAAUUCCAGGUGUAGCGGUGAAAUGCGUAGAUAUCUGGAGGAACACCGGUGGCGAAGGCGGCAUCCUGGACCGGCAUUGACGAUGAGGCGCGAAAGCCAGGGGAGCAAACGGG
This 252-nucleotide ribosomal RNA is filed under the name uncultured bacterium. RNAcentral's name for it is "partial 16S ribosomal RNA". It matches the Rfam family "Bacterial small subunit ribosomal RNA", at positions 524 to 776 of the family's 1533-position model. The record is from RNAcentral.